This 460-nucleotide ribosomal RNA is filed under the name uncultured bacterium. RNAcentral describes it as "partial 16S ribosomal RNA". It matches the Rfam family "Bacterial small subunit ribosomal RNA", at positions 338 to 795 of the family's 1533-position model. The record is from RNAcentral.
CCUACGGGAGGCAGCAGUGAGGACUAUUGGUCAAUGGACGAGAGUCUGAACCAGCCAAGUAGCGUGAAGGAUGACUGCCCUAUGGGUUGUAAACUUCUUUUAUAAAGGAAUAAAACGAGGCACGUGUGCCUUUUUGCAUGUACUUUAUGAAUAAGGAUCGGCUAACUCCGUGCCAGCAGCCGCGGUAAUACGGAGGCUCCGAGCGUUAUCCGGAUUUAUUGGGUUUAAAGGGAGCGUAGGCGGGUUGUUAAGUCAGUUGUGAAAGUUUGCGGCUCAACCGUAAAAUUGCAGUUGAUACUGGCAUCCUUGAGUACAGUAGAGGGAGGCGGAAUUCGUGGUGUAGCGGUGAAAUGCUUAGAUAUCACGAAGAACUCCGAUUGCGAAGGCAGCCUGCUGGACUGUAACUGACGCUGAUGCUCGAAAGCGUGGGGAGCAAACAGGAUUAGAUACCCUUGUAGUC